This 303-nucleotide ribosomal RNA is filed under the name uncultured bacterium. Its description in RNAcentral is "partial 16S ribosomal RNA". It matches the Rfam family "Bacterial small subunit ribosomal RNA", at positions 507 to 808 of the family's 1533-position model. The record is from RNAcentral.
AGCAGCAGCCGCGGUAAUACGUAGGUCCCGGGCGUUGUCCGGAUUUAUUGGGCGUAAAGCGAGCGCAGGCGGUUAGAUAAGUCUGAAGUUAAAGGCUGUGGCUUAACCAUAGUACGCUUUGGAAACUGUUUAACUUGAGUGCAAGAGGGGAGAGUGGAAUUCCAUGUGUAGCGGUGAAAUGCGUAGAUAUAUGGAGGAACACCGGUGGCGAAAGCGGCUCUCUAGCUUGUAACUGACGCUGAGGCUCGAAAGCGUGGGGAGCAAACAGGAUUAGAUACCCGAGUAGUCCCUGUCUCUUAUACC